This is an RNA transcript of Microplitis mediator, 3525 nucleotides long. RefSeq lists it as uncharacterized. The record is from RefSeq and is a predicted model, not a curated record. NCBI's taxonomy places the organism in Eukaryota, Metazoa, Arthropoda, Insecta, Hymenoptera, Braconidae. The transcript is spliced from 16 exons.
UCCACAUAACGGCUUGAUAUCGACAACUGAAGAAACCGUUAACAAUUACGUCAGUACAACGUUAAUUAAUUUGUUUAAAUUAUUAAUGUAAUAAUUUAACAAAAUGAUUGAAAAGAUUCGUAAAAAAUUGUUAGUAACGAAUCAAUCAAACAAGGUUGCAGUAAUUAAUGAACUCAUUAAAAAAAUCAACUCACUUGAUGGAGAAAACCGAGACUUAUUUAUUGUAAAUAUAAUAUCAGCUGAUAUCGCUAUUAUUUUAACAUACAAUUUGGCGCAGCACAAUGAAAAUCUUCAACGAUCGAUAUUAGUAUGCUGGGAAAUAUUAUCAGAACAUGAAUAUUUUUAUAAAAACAAUGUAGCGACUUCUGUUAUUAUGAAAAUAAUAGAAACUGGAUCAUUUCUUGGCAGAAAUGAAAUAACAGAGCAGCCUAUUUUGAAAAUUAUGACUCAUACUCUUUCUUUGAUAUUUUACCGGGCUCAGAAAUUAAAAUUUCCUUUGAGAAUUAUUGAGUACUUCGAUCCAUUAUUUACAUUUAUCGAUAGUUUAAAUAUUAAAGCUCCAGUUUCUAAUGCUGCUAAGAUUGUCAGUGCAGGGAAUCUUUUUUUUACUGUCCUCAGUGGUGUCGAUUUUGCUACAAUUAGUCUAGACAGAUUGCUGAUGAUCCAGACAUUUUAUAAAGAUAUUUUAGAUGUGAUUUCAAAAAUUAUUAUGGCACAGGAAAAUAACGAACCCAAAGAAUCAUUCAACAUUCUUUUUAAAACUGUUGUCAAUAUUUGCUGCACAGGAAUUAAUGUUACUAAUGAAGACACAGGAACAUUAAGUAGUGACUCGGAAGACUCGUACGCAAGUAAUUGUAACGAAAGAUUGGAAAUAUUUAAAAGUAUUUUAGAUAUUACGUGCAAAACGAUGUUGCAAAUUGUCAUCCCUAAUUUCAAAGAAAUUGAUGAAUCCAGCGAUGAAUUUGAAGAUUUUUUGAAACCUUUUGUUACAUCUUUGACUGUAUUGUAUGAGGAAAGAAAAAAUACAGACCGUGUAAAAAAAUUUUCAUUGGAUUUGUCAAUUCAAGGAUACUUGAAAUAUUUUCUUGAGAAAAUAAAAAACCAGUCGUUGAUUGAUAGCAGAAACUCAAUUUGUAAAUGUCUUGCAUACGUUUUGACGGAUCUUGCAAACAAUAAUUUGUCAAUGGAUCAGUGGCAAGAUGGCCUACGAGCAUUCUGCAAAUUUAUUUUUAAUGGACUCAUAUCUUACGCGGAAUCUGGGAAAUUGACGAGCGAUUCGGCGAGCGCUGAUGCUGUUCUUUUUUGCAUUUACUUUCAUUACCAUGCGACUGCUGACUCGCAAAUGAUUGAAGUCAUCAGCCAGAUGCCAUUGACACAAAAAAUUUUAAAAUUGUCGGUUGAAAAUUUACCACAAGUGCCUACAGUACAAAUUAUUUGGUUCCUUACUUCCGUAUGGAUGUUGGAAAGGAAGACGGGAGAUUCAGAUAAAUGUUUACCGGAUGCUUUAGCUCAUCUUAUUGAAAUCCUCGAAAAAGUGGGAGUAGAAAAAUGCUACAUAUGUUAUCCGGCUUUGGUUGUCACUGCGCUUCAGAAUUCAAUAUUUCCACGAGAAAUUCAGCAUCAAGUUGUUAAAUUAUGGCUGAAAACUGACGGUGACGUACAUGCGUUAGUCGAUGCAAGUCACAGACACGUCGUCGUUGGUUCUCUUAUCAAUGCUUUAAAAACUGGAACCAAAGAUGUAGUAGAGCGAGCUUGCAAAGAUUUAAUUAAAAUCGCAAAAGAUAAUAAUCCGAACUAUGAUUUUAUGCAAAUUGUGUGGCAGGAAAUCCCUCGUGUUUUAAUUACUUAUAAAAAAGAAAAUGAGCAUAAUCUCGAAGGAUUUUUAAAUCUGGCAAAUAAGUUAUCAACUGAUGAAUUUCCAGUUGAUCUUGCGAUCCAAUGCGUCGGAAGUUUCAUUAAAAUAUUUAGCCGUGAUGACGUGGAAGUUGAUUUAAACAUUAAAAAUUUGUUGAUUACAUUAACAAAUAAAAUGUUUUUGGUUGCUUCAGCUGCUAACGACAGCAGAGUUGUUCCGUCUAAUAUUACUGAUAAGGAUAUUCUGAAUAAGAUUCGUAAUCAAGCAUUCCAGGAUUCAAAUGAUGAUUUAUCAGCAGCCUGUUUCAAAUGCUUAGCCAAUAUCUUCGCUAAUCUUGUUCAAUUUUCUACGAAGCCACCACAGCCUUUAUCAGUAACGUCGACCGAGCUCAUAAAUGCUCUGUCCAAAGACACAUUUGUCUCAACCGAGGCCAUGAUGUUUCUAAAUAUUAUUUUCAUGAGCCAAAAAAACUUCCGCGACUAUUUGAUUAUUGAUUUCUGCCAACAAAAUGUCGAAGAAGAUUUAUAUGAAAUUUUCUACUCAAUGAUACAAAUUCACAACAAUGCAGUUCCGGUUAAAUGGAAAUUUACUUUUAAUUGUCUGACCAAUUUUUUGAUAUUCAUAAAAUUAAAUUAUCCUACUGCGCUGUACAGCUGCUGUGACGACAUGACCAUUCAUUUAACAAUCAUCAGAACCAUCGAUAACAAUUACGCGCAAGCAGAAUUUUUUAAAUUCGUUAACUUAUGGUUAGAGCACGGAUUGCAAUCCCACUCUUCGUUUGUCGAUGGUACUUUCAAAUUAAACCGUAUGAAAGAAUAUUCUCAAGAUAAUUUUAAGUUUGAAUGUACUUUUGAAAAAGCAUUGAAGCAACUGAAGACGCACAUCGAAAAACUUGAUCCUUCUAACGAUAUCCCAGUGAUUAUUCUUAAAAACCUUAAGCACAAAAUUUCGCUACUCGUCUAAAUUAACAUCUGAGGCGUAAAAAUGAAUUUGUAAAACGACAAUCGAGCAAGCCACCCUCUUUAUAUUGUCGGUGACAACGACAUACCUAUCUACGUACCUAUUUACUUCCGCUACAAACUUCCCCUCACAGUGAGUUUGAGAACAUUGUGAAUUCGUGAGUUACAGAAAAAAGGAGUCUGGAAAAAAAAUAUUAAAAAACUGGAGCAUUAUUAACGUCACAAGAUUCCUGAUCCUUUAGUGGAGUGAUUUAAGCCAGUGGACUGGAGGAAAGAGAAAACAGGAAGAGAAAUAUCGUGUUGUUUGCGGACAGCAUUUUAAAGAGAAACGAGGUAAAUAUUUAGUCGGUAUAAUUCUCGUGGAAUCGAAAAUCCUACUACCGCAAAUUUACGUAAUUUCUACGUCUAUGUUCUCUUUCCCCUCAUUUUACUCUUCCAAGUUUUAAAAAUAUUUUACAAGCAUUUUUAACUCGCCAACUAAUCCGAAUACUCUACGAACGUACAUUUAAUUCUCUCAUUAAGCUGUAAAAAAAAUUGUUAAAAAAAUUUAGCUACCCUGCGAAAAAAAAUUAAUUACUAUAUUAUAUUAUAUUAUAUUUGAUAUUAUCAUUCAUGACUAAAUAUUUCAACGAAAUAUAUUUUUUCAUACACAUGCCUCAGAAUAUCGCCAUUGUAUUUUAAAUAAUAUUUGGACACAUAUUUAUUUUAAUG